UACCAGUUCUUGCAUAGCCAAUCCCUCUUAUUUAUUAAUAUUUAAAGAAUAUGGUAUUUAUUUAGAUAAAUAGUAAUUUAGAUUAUUAUUUUUUUUUUUAUUUAUUUAUUUUCUUUUUYUGUUUAUUUAAGACUGGAUUGAGUGAUAAUUAUAUAUAUAAGUUAUUUUACUUUUCUUUUCCAUAUAAAUGGAUUAGAGAACUAGUAUAAAUAUUUUAAAUUUAUAGAUAUUAAUUUAUCC
This 240-nucleotide ribosomal RNA is filed under the name Hebeloma mediorufum. RNAcentral's name for it is "partial small subunit ribosomal RNA". Lineage: Eukaryota; Fungi; Basidiomycota; Agaricomycetes; Agaricales; Hymenogastraceae. The record is from RNAcentral.